CAAGUAACCCCUGCCGCACGGUACAGCUGGCCGCAUACAAAAAAAAUUUGAUUUAUUAUAAUUGUCACUUUUUGAACUUGUAAAACAUAUGACGGUAUGAGAAUGACUAAAUAAGACUUUAAAAAGAAAGUCGUAACCUUAAAUUGUCAUUUUCUCUCUCUAACCCCCAUCCCUAUCCUCCACCGCCCCCCGUUUUCUAAGCCCAUACUCGCCGGCGACUAGCGCGCUUCGCCUAGCCGUCGCCGGCGAGCCCAAUCUCUCCGUUAUUUUCCUUUCCUGCUAUAUAAUUUUUUCGUUUUUGGGUCUGUUGGUGAAGAAUUCAGGGGUCCUCUUCAGUGGUUCCGUUUAAUUGGGUUCAUCGUCAAGUGGUUUGCGGCUUGCUUCAAAAAAUCAAGAACCAAAGGCUAGUCUUAACGCCGCCGUCGAAAGGAAUUUCGUUAAUUAAUUCCCGACGAUAAAGGUGAAGUUAAGGUUAGGAUUUCCUCGCGUAUCCAAGUUUAAGUUUAGUGAGGGGUUCUUUUCCGUUGCCGAUGACGAUUGUUCUUGGUGUUGGGUUGGGUUUCUUCCGGUGAGGUUUUAUCAGAGCUUGUUCUUCUGGUUAUGGUGUUGCAGCUUCUGCUUCUUUUGCCUUCUUCAAUGGCGCCAAAGGUAAUAGCGACUUUUACACCCUUCUUCGUUUUCCUCUUUAUUCCUUCGUAAAUUUGCGGCAUUAUUUCCCCGAUCAUACACCUGCUAAUACUUUAAUUGAUUUUGAUAAUGAUCGUGAAUUGUUUCUUCAAUUUGUUAGAGAACAAUGCAAAUUAGGGUUUUCUGAUGUCAAAUUUCCCCUUUCUCUCUUCAAUCAGAUGAUAACUUUACGCCCUCUUCCUUCUGUCAUUGAUUUCAAUCAGCUUUUAUCUGCAAUUGUCAAAUUGAAGCGCUUAAGACCACAUUCCACCAUUAUUUCUCUGUAUAGGAAGCUUAAAUUGUAUGGUAUUCGACUCGAUAUGAAUUCUAUUGGUAUUCUUGCCAAUUGCUACUGUCAUUUGGGUCGUAUCGAUUUCGGGUUUUCUCUCUUGGGUAAAUUACUUAAGCUUGGCUAUCCCAUUGAUUGUGUCAUCUUUAGUACCUUCAUCAAUGGCUAUAUCCAGUGUAAUAAGCUACCCCAAGCCGCUCAUUUGUUGAAUAAAAUUGUCAAGCUUGGUUUCCAACCCAACAUAGUUAACUAUAGCACUGUUGUCAAAGGGCUUUGUAGGAUUGGCGACAAUGCGUCUGCUCUCAAUUUUCUUAGAAAAAUGCAAUCUGGAUGACGCUAUAAACCUGACAUUGUUAUAUACAACACUAUUAUCGAUAGUCUUUGUAAGGACGGGCUGUUAGAAUAGGCCCUUCACCUUUUCUCCUCUAUGAAAACUGACGGCAUUAAACCCAAUGUUGUCACUUAUACUUCCUUGAUUCGAGGCCUCUACAAUUCCGGCUGAGGUGAAGAGGUUCAGCGUGUGUUGACUGAGAUGUUAGAGAGCAACAUAAAACCAGAUGUCCAGACCUACAGCAUGCUGGUUGACAUGUUUUGUAAAGAUGGGUGUGUUGAUCAAGCGCUGUCCAUACUAAAGCACAUGAUUGAGAAAGGUGUGGCUCCAAAAAUCCUUAUAAUGCAUUACUUGAUGGUCAUUGUUUGCGUGGUCAGAUGGAAGAUGCAGAGAACCUACUUGAUCUCAUAGCUGAAAAUGUUUGUGGGCCUAAUCUUGUUAGUUUUAAUACUAUGAUUAAUGGAUAUUGCAAGGCUAAAAACAUUGACAAGGUCUUACCAUAUUCUAUGAGAUGUUUCGGAAAGGGAUAACCCCUGAUGUUGUUUGCUAUAACACUCUUAUUGAUGGACUGUGCAAAGCCAAUAGACUCUCACUUGUCCAUAAGCUAUUCAGGGAAAUGCGGGCUCAUGGAAUUGCUCCAGUUGUCAUCACCUAUGCUUCCUUGCUUGACUACCUUUACAAAACUGCACGGCUUGAUGAGGCGGUGAUUGCUUGAAGAAAUGGAGAAAAAUGGUGUUAAGCCAAAUGAUUCCAUCUACAAUAUCCUGAUCAACAGCUUGUGUAAGGCUGGACAACUUGAAGAUGCGGAAAAUUUCUUCUCUAAUCUCCUUUCAAAGGGUCUGCAACCUGAUAUUAGAACGUACAAUAUAAUGAUCAAAGGCUUCUGCAAGAAAGGGCUCAUGAGUGAAGUUGGUCAAGUGUUGAGGAUAAUGGAGGAAGAUGGUUGUCCCCCUGAUGAUCGAACCUAUAAUAUUAUUAUCAGAGGAUAUAUUCUCAAUAAUGACUUGUCAAAAGCAUUUUACUAUUGUGAUAUUAUGACUAGCAAGAAAUUUGAAGCUGAUGCAGACACUUUUUCAUUAUUUGUCGACCUCUUGUCUUCUGGUAACUUAAGUGAUUCGUCAAAGGACUUGCUUCGGAAGUUUAUCAGUUGAAUUGUUGUUCAGAUGAUUGCAGGCUUGCAAAGAUUCAUACUCAUAAUAUGUUCUAUGGUUCAUUGAUGGUUUUUGGUGUUUCUUUCCCACUUUUUAUCGAUAUCGUUCUGUUUGCAGAUUGUCACUUCUGCUCUGUAAUAGUUGAACACAGUUAUAUAAUUAAAGUUUGGAACUCUUAUAUAUUCCCUAAAGUGGAGAAUAAUCUUAAUUUCAA
This is an RNA transcript of Chenopodium quinoa (quinoa), 2651 nucleotides long. It is a transcript of the gene named pentatricopeptide repeat-containing protein At1g06580-like, with no coding region annotated. NCBI's taxonomy places the organism in Eukaryota, Viridiplantae, Streptophyta, Magnoliopsida, Caryophyllales, Amaranthaceae. The transcript has 2 exons. The record is from RefSeq and is a predicted model, not a curated record.